Molecule: ribosomal RNA, 428 nt
Filed under: Fusobacteriota bacterium
Lineage: Bacteria; Fusobacteriati; Fusobacteriota
Description: Fusobacteria bacterium partial 16S ribosomal RNA
Rfam family: Bacterial small subunit ribosomal RNA
Source: RNAcentral
UGGGGAAUAUUGCGCAAUGGGCGAAAGCCUGACGCAGCGACGCCGCGUGAGGGAUGAAGGUUUUCGGAUCGUAAACCUCUGUCAGAAGGGAAGAAACCGCACUGUGCUAAUCAGCAGUGCCUUGACGGUACCUUCAAAGGAAGCACCGGCUAACUCCGUGCCAGCAGCCGCGGUAAUACGAAGGGUGCAAGCGUUGUCCGGAAUCACUGGGCGUAAAGGGUUCGCAGGCGGAAAUGCAAGUCAGUUGUGAAAGGCAGAGGCUCAACCUCUGUAAGCAAUUGAAACUGUAUUUCUUGAGAUGUGGAGAGGCAAGUGGAAUUCCUAGUGUAGCGGUGAAAUGCGUAGAUAUUAGGAAGAAUACCGGUGGCGAAGGCGACUUGCUGGACACAAACUGACGCUGAGGAACGAAAGCGUGGGUAGCAAACAGG